CACCAGAUGGCCGACAAUAGGCAUAAGUCUUUUAAACUUAUUAUAGAAUUAUCUUCAGGUGA
This 62-nucleotide transfer RNA is filed under the name Pseudoniphargus pityusensis. Its description in RNAcentral is "tRNA-Lys". Lineage: Eukaryota; Metazoa; Arthropoda; Malacostraca; Amphipoda; Allocrangonyctidae. The record is from RNAcentral.